RNAcentral lists this ribosomal RNA (253 nucleotides) under uncultured bacterium. RNAcentral's name for it is "partial 16S ribosomal RNA". It matches the Rfam family "Bacterial small subunit ribosomal RNA", at positions 524 to 776 of the family's 1533-position model. The record is from RNAcentral.
GACGGAAGGUGCAAGCGUUGCUCGGAAUUAUUGGGCGUAAAGCGCGCGUAGGCGGUUACUCAAGUCGGAUGUGAAAGCCCUCGGCUUAACUGAGGAAGUGCACCCGAAACUGAGUAGCUAGAGUACUAAAGAGGGUCGCGGAAUUCCCGGUGUAGAGGUGAAAUUCGUAGAUAUCGGGAGGAACACCGGUGGCGAAGGCGGCGACCUGGGUAGAUACUGACGCUGAGGCGCGAAAGCGUGGGGAGCAAACAGG